Molecule: ribosomal RNA, 294 nt
Filed under: uncultured bacterium
Lineage: Bacteria
Description: partial 16S ribosomal RNA
Rfam family: Bacterial small subunit ribosomal RNA
Source: RNAcentral
GGAUUAGAUACCCUGGUAGUCCACGCCCUAAAUGAUGUCUAUUAGUUGUUGGGUCUUAACUGACUUAGUAACGCAGCUAACGCGUGAAAUAGACCGCCUGGGGAGUACGGCCGCAAGGUUAAAACUCAAAGGAAUUGACGGGGACCCGCACAAGCGGUGGAUGAUGUGGAUUAAUUCGAUGCAACGCGAAAAACCUUACCUACACUUGACAUGUCAAGAAUUUGCCAGAGAUGGCUUAGUGCUCGAAAGAGAGCUUGAACACAGGUGCUGCAUGGCUGUCGUCAGCUCGUGCCG